This 254-nucleotide ribosomal RNA is filed under the name uncultured bacterium. RNAcentral's name for it is "partial 16S ribosomal RNA". It matches the Rfam family "Bacterial small subunit ribosomal RNA", at positions 524 to 776 of the family's 1533-position model. The record is from RNAcentral.
UACGUAGGGGGCAAGCGUUGUCCGGAAUCAUUGGGCGUAAAGAGCGUGUAGGCGGCCCGAUAAGUCCGCUGUGAAAGUCCAGGGCUCAACCCUGGAAUGCCGGUGGAUACUGUCGGGCUCGAAUCCGGAAGAGGUGAGUGGAAUUCCUGGUGUAGCGGUGAAAUGCGCAGAUAUCAAGAGGAACACCUGAGGUGAAGACGGGUUGCUGGGCCGACACUGACGCUGACAGCGCGAAAGCCAGGGGAGCAAACGGG